AGGUGAACAGCCUCUGGUCGA
RNAcentral lists this small nuclear RNA (21 nucleotides) under Arabidopsis thaliana (thale cress). RNAcentral's name for it is "snRNA_18673". Lineage: Eukaryota; Viridiplantae; Streptophyta; Magnoliopsida; Brassicales; Brassicaceae. The record is from RNAcentral.